Long non-coding RNA from Chiloscyllium plagiosum (whitespotted bambooshark), 463 nucleotides. RefSeq lists it as uncharacterized. The record is from RefSeq and is a predicted model, not a curated record. Lineage: Eukaryota; Metazoa; Chordata; Chondrichthyes; Orectolobiformes; Hemiscylliidae.
AAUCUCAUUCAAACGACGACACCUCCAACAGUGCCAGAGCCCUUCAGUGCUACACUGCAAUGUUAACCCAGAGUUGUGAAGUUUGAACCAUGACCCUGUUGACUGCAAUGCACAGAUGGACAGCUAAGCAAGUGCCAAUUUCCCUUGCCAAGGGGUUAACAGUGGCGGUAGUGAGGCACCUGUGUCUGAGUGGCUUGCUCGGCCAUUUUGGAGGAGAGUUGACAAUCAACCACAUCUCUGCAGGUCUGAAGUGACGUGUAGGUUAGACCAGAUUUUCAUAGAAUCCCUACAGUGUGGAAGCAGGCCAUUUGGUGCAUCAUGUCCACAUCAACCCAGAAAAGAUUAUCCUGCCCCAUCUACCAUAUCCCUGCCUUUUCCAUGGCUGAGCUACCUAACCUGCACAUCCCUGAACACUAUGGACAAUUUUGCACAGCCAAUUCACCCUGACCUGCACAUCUUUGGA